UACGUAGGGGGCAAGCGUUGUCCGGAUUUAUUGGGCGUAAAGAGCGUGUAGGCGGCUAGGUAGGUCUGUUGUGAAAACUCGAGGCUCAACCUCGAGACGUCGAUGGAAACCAUCUAGCUAGAGUCCGGAAGAGGAGAGUGGAAUUCCUGGUGUAGCGGUGAAAUGCGCAGAUAUCAGGAAGAACACCCGUGGCGAAGGCGGCUCUCUGGCCCGAUACUGACGCUGAGGCACGAAAGCGUGGGAGCAAACAGG
This 252-nucleotide ribosomal RNA is filed under the name uncultured bacterium. RNAcentral describes it as "partial 16S ribosomal RNA". It matches the Rfam family "Bacterial small subunit ribosomal RNA", at positions 524 to 776 of the family's 1533-position model. The record is from RNAcentral.